RNAcentral lists this ribosomal RNA (358 nucleotides) under uncultured bacterium. Its description in RNAcentral is "partial 16S ribosomal RNA". It matches the Rfam family "Bacterial small subunit ribosomal RNA", at positions 338 to 694 of the family's 1533-position model. The record is from RNAcentral.
CCUACGGGAGGCUGCAGUGAGGAAUAUUGGUCAAUGGCCGGAAGGCUGAACCAGCCAAGCCGCGUGAAGGACGAAGGUGCCAAGCAUUGUAAACUUCUUUUGUCAAGGGACAAAAUCAGGCUCGAGAGCCUGACCGAGGGUACUUGAAGAAAAAGCAUCGGCUAACUCCGUGCCAGCAGCCGCGGUAAUACGGAGGAGGCGAGCGUUAUCCGGAUUUAUUGGGUUUAAGGGGUGCGUAGGCGGGCUGUUAAGUCAGCGGGAAAGGCCCGGGGGUCACCCCCGGCGAGCCGUUGAAACUGGCUGUGUGGAGGUGUCGAGAGGUAGGCGGAAGGCGCGGUGUAGCGGUGAAAUGAGUAGA